This 71-nucleotide transfer RNA is filed under the name Thermoleophilia bacterium. RNAcentral describes it as "tRNA-Gly". It matches the Rfam family "tRNA". From Rfam's summary of the family: Transfer RNA (tRNA) molecules are approximately 80 nucleotides in length. The record is from RNAcentral. Lineage: Bacteria; Bacillati; Actinomycetota; Thermoleophilia.
GCGGGUAUGGUGAAGUGGUAUCACGAGAGCUUCCCAAGCUCUAAUUGCGGGUUCGAUUCCCGCUACCCGCU